Podarcis lilfordi (Lilford's wall lizard) is the source of this 4739-nucleotide non-coding RNA. The record is from the annotation of a GenBank genome assembly. Lineage: Eukaryota; Metazoa; Chordata; Lepidosauria; Squamata; Lacertidae.
CAGAUGGGGACUUAGUAUUGCAAACAUUGAGAUACCAGGAACUGGUAAUUGGCAAGAGGUUGUGUGUGUGUUUUUUAACUUACAGGGAGGGGUAAAUCCAUAUUAAAAGGUGGGGAGGGGGGCAUACAGGCUAACAUCAUGUGGAUGCUGGGGGGGAGGACUUGCAUGCAUGGAAAGCAUGCAUCUGACAAUAAAUAUCAUUUCUUUUUAUAUUUGUUCCUGCUCUCCUGUGCCCAUUCACAAAUACGCUGCUGCUUCUUUGCCUCCCUUUCUUCCUUUUUUUGAUGACGCUAAUUAAGUCAUGACUUCAGAAGGAAUAAAGAAAGAGGAAGGAGCAAAAGAGCACUGGCAGAAUCUCUCACGUUUCUGCUGCCACCUUGGCAUCCAGCGGUAACGGAAGCUGAACAGUCUUGGCCUCUGCAUGCAAUUUGCAGAUGGUAACAUUAAGAUCUGUUUGUUCUCAAGCUGCACGUCAAGCAGGUAAUGUGUCUGAGAAAUUCUCUUCAGCGUUGCUCAAAAGAAAGAGGGGAAAGGGGCUGUGAAUUUAUUCUGUCAGCUCUGUUUGUGUAUGUUUUCUGGUGCUAAGCUCCUAAGGCGUGAAAGAGAAUUUCAAAGAGCAAUUCCUGGGUAGUGGUGCUUAGGGAACAACACUGAUGUGCAGAUGUUUUGCUUAGGCCUGUAUUCCAGCAACUCACAAGGCUAACCAGGGUAGGGGCCAAGUAGCCGCAGAAGAUGCAGGCAAUACUUUCUGUUCUGAUCCUGGUUCCAGUUCAGGUGAACCUAGAUUGAAUUGAUUGGGUUUAUCAAUCCCAUAUUUGCAUUCCACUUGAUUUCUUCAAGGCUCACAGCUAGCAAGUGUAGAGGUUCCUUAUAGCCACGCAAUUCUACGAUGGUGAGCACUGAAGCUUCAGUUCUGAUUGCAGGGGAUUUAAGUCCCCGUUGGCUGAAAUCCCAGGACAUCCCAGGAUGGGAUCAGGAGCCAGGGUGGUUCCUGUAAUUCUGGGAUGUCCCAGUUAAAACAGGACACUUGUGCGGUAUGUUGAUCAUGAAGGAAAUUCAUUGGACAUAAUACAUUGGGAAUGUUUCCUGCACCUAUUUCUCAUUGGAGAUGAUCGUGAUGAUGAUAAAUAGCAGACUUUUAAUAAUAAUAGAAAAUUUAUAUGUUUAGUAUCCUUUGUGACUUGACCUGCAUCUUUCUUUUGUUAUUAAGCCUGUGCCUGCUCUAUUGUUCAUAUUUAUGAAGUCAGAAUCCUGUUUCUCAGCAAUGAUUAUUAUGAUUAUUCUUCUAUUCUUUUACUUCAAACUCAUUUUUUAAAAAAAGCACUAGGAACUGUUGACUUAAACCUGUCUGCGUAUAGUGUUUUGUACUUUGACUAGCACACUGUUAUUCUGAACGCUCCAUUGUCCUGUUCAGUGUUUGCUCGAGUAUGCACAUACUUUCCCACCAUAAAAGUAGAUCAUCUCUCAAACUUGCCAGGGACUUAAUUUGAACCCGAGUCACCUUGGUGCCAGACCAGUGUUUUCAUUUGCUUGCUUACAAAUAUGAUAUCUGCAGUUGCUAAGCUGCUGAAUGAGCAUCAUCCAGCCAUGGGUGGCUGAUAUACUAUGAUGUCAUAAUGAGCCUUGGCAGAUAGAGAUGUCACAGAGGUGCUGAGUAGUUUAGGUGAGUAGUCUAGGAUUAGAGAGAAGAGGGGCUGUAUCUCAGAAGAUGAAGAUCCCAGAUUCCCAGAUUCAUUUUCUGUCAUCUUCAAGUAAGACUGAGGUGGUGUCGGUCAGAUCGGUCCGAAGCUCAGUGGACAUCCUCAUUGUAGGAAUCUACAGAAGACGACCGGUCUCGCUGGAUGUGGUGAGUUGUCCUUUCGGUACGUGGGCUGUGGGCCACCUCAUGAGUGUUAUCCUUCUCAAAGACCAUGGCCAUAGUCAUUGCUUCCAUCAUCGUGAUAUCAUCUUGCACGUUACUGAUGAACCUUUCAAUAAGUCGUUCCUCGAUGUCAGUGAAUCGGCAGUACAUUGCAAUCGCCUGGAGUGCUGUGAUGUAUUCACUCAUUGACUCUUGUGCUUGUUGUUCUCUGUGCGCAAUGUCAUAGAGGCGGUGGUUCUUAGUUGGCUGAGGCGCAAGGUGUCUUGUCAUAGCCUGUGUCAGCUCAUCGAAAGUGCAUGCCUCUAUGUCCCUGGGUGCCAUCAGACCUUCUAGUAGAGUGAUGGCGGAACUUCCCAGCACUGUCAGUAGCACAUCCAUGACUUCCUUUAUGGUCGGCCUUUCACUAUUGUUACUGACCACAAGCCACUCCUGGGACUCUCUGCACCUGACCGCCAGACACCCCAGAUGCUUUCGCCACGAGUAUUGCGCUGGUCCAUUUUCCUGGCCGAUUACCAAUACUCGCUACAGCACUGACCCAGGAAAGCCAUGGGUCACGCAGAUGCACUCAGCUGCUAGCCACUGUCGGAGAGCGGCCCUGACCCUGCUCCUGCCCGCCAGAUCCUGCGGCUGGAAGACUUACCGGACCAGCCCUUGCAUGUGAAGUACAUUGCACCCGCAACCACGAAGGAUAGGCUAUUGUCCCGCGUCUUGGACUGGGUGGGGAGGGGGUGGCCCAGGAAGCCGGGUGCAGAAAUUUCAUUCUACACAGCCUGCAAGGACAAGCUGUCUACUCACCAAGGAUGCCUGUUAUGGGGUAGCCAUGUUAUAGUCCGUCCGUCCCGUUAAGGAAAAAAGUCUUAGAAGGGCUGCAGGUGUCUCACCUGGGGAUCAUCUGGAUGAAGGCAUUGGCCUGUAGCUAUCUGUGGUGGCCAGGCAUAGAUGCGGAGAUAGAGGGCUGGGUGAAACGUGAGCCCUGCCAUGUCUCCCGGCCGGAUCCACCCAAGGACCAGUACAGUCCUGGGAGUCCACACAGUCCCCAUGGUCCCGGGUGCACGUGGAUUUCACGGGGCCUUUUCAGGGCCAACACUUCCUAAUAGUGGUUGACUCUCAGUCCAAGUGGCUCGAGGUGGUGCCGACCUUAACUGUGUCCGCUAGAGCGACUAUAAACGCGCUCAGGAAGCUAUUCGCGACACACGGCUUGCCAGACACACUGGUGAGUGAUAAUUGGACCGCUUUUACUUCGGCGGAAUUCAAAGAAUUUGUAACCAAGAAUGGAAUCCACCACAUUCGUUCCGCUCCUUUUCACCUGGCCACUAACGGCCAAGCUGGAUGCAUGGUCCAUACUACCAAAGAUGCGCUUAGGCGCAUAGUGCAUGGAGAUUGGACUCUCCGGCUAGCGGAGUUCUUAUUGGCCCAACACAUCACCCCAAGCACAGUGACCGGCCGGAGCCUGGCGGAGUUACUUAUGGGAAGGAGGCUCACUACCCUCCUUGAUCGUAUGCACCCCGACUGGGCUCUUGAGCAACGGCCAUCUGCUGUGGUGCAGGGGGCUCCAAGAGGGUUCUCCCCUGGGGACACUGUGUACGUCCGAAACUAUGGGCCCAGACAGGGUUGGGUCCCAGGUAUCAUUGCUCACUGUACAGUUCCGGCUUCCUACAAGGUAGGUUUGGAGGGGGGACUGGUUUGGAAGAGACACAUCGACCAGAUCAGAGCCAGGACACCUCCGAACACGGAACUCCAAUUGGAACCAGAGGACAGAGAAAUGGGUAUUUCAGGAGAUUCUGUGCCCAGGCCAGAGUGGGAACCAGACGGGUUGCCAGUGAUUGAGUUACCCCAGCAGGGCGACUUCAGGCUGGAAUCCUCAGUGGCUCCAUCGGCAGUAACCCCUUCGGAGCCGGCCUCGCUGACUGCCCCACUCAGACCACGGGUACCGGAGGAACCUCCUGGGUCACCCACUCGGGCACAGGAACCAUAACGGUCCCAGCGGGAGCGGAAAAGGCCAGCACACCUUGAUGACUAUGUUUGUUCCUUUUGUUAGGAAGUUGGGGGGAGGAGUGUUAUGUAUUGGGUUUAACACUUUUUAUGUUACAAGACGCAUUCUAACCAACUGUAUAAGCGUUGGAAGACGAAUGUUCUAAUGGCAAGUAAGCGCAUGCACUGUCAACUGUCAACUGUCAACAGUCAGUUCAUGUUAGGGCUUUUAUUUUGUAGUCCUGUGAGUUCGGGUUUUGUCUUCCUAUGAGUGAGCCAUUGUCACUGACAAUGUUGAAUAAACGUAGUUGAGAAACUUAUACUGCCUUGGGCUUCUGACUUUUCCCAAACAUUUAACAUUUGCCAUCACCCUAGCCCGGGCCUUCGCCUUCGCCCUAGCCUGGGCAUUUGCCUUUGCCUUUGCCAUGGCCCAGGCCUUUGGCUUUGGCAUGGUUCAGGCCUUCGCCUUGGCCCGGGCCUUUGCCUUUUGGCCUGGCCUUUGCUUUUGCCUUUGCCUUUGCCCUGGCCUUUCAGUUAGAGCUGAGGUUGAAAGGAUUCAUGAUGUUAUUUGAACAGGGUUUAAUUCAUCCUUGCCAGGGUGUUUUAUAUGAUAAACAAAUUUGAAGUUAGUAUGACUGCAAAUCCACAUUCCAUUUUUAUGCAUCUUGGGAGAAAUGUUUUUCUCCUUGUUUCAGUUCUGUAUUUUAUUUUCUCUUUAGGGAGAUCCCAACCAAUUAUAGAUAGGGUUUUACAUGUCUUCUAAUUACGACAGAAUAGAAUUGGGGAAAGCCUACAAGGGAAACAGACCAAAUGAGGAACAGAAUGCUAUCCGUGGAUGUAAAGGCUUUCGUGGAAUUAGCAAUGGCUGCCAGAAUACCGGAUUAACAUUCCCAUCUGAAAAUGCGCU